RNAcentral lists this ribosomal RNA (301 nucleotides) under uncultured bacterium. Its description in RNAcentral is "partial 16S ribosomal RNA". It matches the Rfam family "Bacterial small subunit ribosomal RNA", at positions 509 to 807 of the family's 1533-position model. The record is from RNAcentral.
CAGUAGCCGCGGGAACACGAAGGGUGCAAGCGUUACUCGGAAUUACUGGGCGUAAAGCGUGCGUAGGUGGUGGUUUAAGUCCGUUGUGAAAGCCCUGGGCUCAACCUGGGAAUUGCAGUGGAUACUGGGUCACUAGAGUGUGGUAGAGGAUAGUGGAAUUUCCGGUGUAGCAGUGAAAUGCGUAGAGAUCGGAAGGAACAUCUGUGGCGAAGGCGACUAUCUGGGCCAACACUGACACUGAGGCACGAAAGCGUGGGGAGCAAACAGGAUUAGAUACCCCUGUAGUCCCUGUCUCUUAUAC